GACGAACGCUGGCGGCGUGCUUAACACAUGCAAGUCGAACGGAAAGGCCCUGCUUUUGUGGGGUGCUCGAGUGGCGAACGGGUGAGUAACACGUGAGUAACCUGCCCUUGACUUUGGGAUAACUUCAGGAAACUGGGGCUAAUACCGGAUAGGAGCUCCUGCUGCAUGGUGGGGGUUGGAAAGUUUCGGCGGUUGGGGAUGGACUCGCGGCUUAUCAGCUUGUUGGUGGGGUAGUGGCUUACCAAGGCUUCGACGGGUAGCCGGCCUGAGAGGGUGACCGGCCACAUUGGGACUGAGAUAGGGCCCAGACUCCUACGGGAGGCAGCAGUGGGGAAUAUUGCACAAUGGGCGGAAGCCUGAUGCAGCAACGCCGCGUGCGGGAUGACGGCCUUCGGGUUGUAAACCGCUUUCGCCUGUGACGAAGCGUGAGUGACGGUAAUGGGUAAAGAAGCACCGGCUAACUACGUG
Molecule: ribosomal RNA, 468 nt
Filed under: uncultured bacterium
Lineage: Bacteria
Description: partial 16S ribosomal RNA
Rfam family: Bacterial small subunit ribosomal RNA
Source: RNAcentral